Molecule: ribosomal RNA, 526 nt
Filed under: uncultured bacterium
Lineage: Bacteria
Description: bacterial SSU rRNA
Rfam family: Bacterial small subunit ribosomal RNA
Source: RNAcentral
AGGGGAUACGUAGCGAAGUUACGCUAAUACCGCAUACGAUCCACGGAUGAAAGCAGGGGACCUUCGGGCCUUGUGCUAUACGAGCGGCCGAUGUCUGAUUAGCUAGUUGGUGAGGUAAAGGCUCACCAAGGCGACGAUCAGUAGCGGGUCUGAGAGGAUGAUCCGCCACACUGGGGACUGAGACACGGCCCAGACUCCUACGGGAGGCAGCAGUGGGGAAUUUUGGACAAUGGGCGCAAGCCUGAUCCAGCCAUGCCGCGUGUCUGAAGAAGGCCUUCGGGUUGUAAAGGACUUUUGUCAGGGAGCAAAACUUACUGGUUAAAUACCUGGUGAGGUUGAGAGUACCUGAAGAAUAAGCACCGGCUAACUACGUGCCAGCAGCCGCGGUAAUACGUAGGGUGCAAGCGUUAAUCGGAAUUACUGGGCGUAAAAGCGUGCGCAGGCGGACUUUUAAGCCAGAUGUGAAAGCCCCCGAGCUUAACUUGGGAAUUGCGUUUGGAACUGGGAGUCUAGAGUCUGUCAGAGG